AGCCAUGCCGCGUGUGUGAAGAAGGCCUUCGGGUUGUAAAGCACUUUCAGUAGGGAGGAAGGUAGUGUAGUUAACACCUGCACUAUUUGACGUUACCUACAGAAGAAGCACCGGCUAACUCCGUGCCAGCAGCCGCGGUAAUACGGAGGGUGCGAGCGUUAAUCGGAAUUACUGGGCGUAAAGCGCAUGCAGGCGGCCUGUUAAGUCAGAUGUGAAAGCCCGGGGCUUAACCUCGGAAUUGCAUUUGAAACUGGCAGGCUAGAGUCUUGUAGAGGGGGUAGAAUUUCAGGUGUAGCGGUGAAAUGCGUAGAGAUCUGAAGGAAUACCAGUGGCGAAGGCGGCCCCCUGGACAAAGACUGACGCUCAGAUGCGAAAGCGUGGGGAGCAAACAGGAUUAGAUACCCUGGUAG
This 410-nucleotide ribosomal RNA is filed under the name uncultured bacterium. RNAcentral's name for it is "bacterial SSU rRNA". It matches the Rfam family "Bacterial small subunit ribosomal RNA", at positions 390 to 793 of the family's 1533-position model. The record is from RNAcentral.